UUGGAGCAGAUCCUUCCUUGCCUUGCACCUUCUGAGAAGGCACCGCAGUGCAGGCUCCUCUGUCUCACACUCCCAGCCCAGAACCAAGCCAGAGGCGAUUCCUGCCGAAGCCACUCAGCUUGUGGUUCCUUGUUACAGCCGCCCUAGGAAGCCGGUGCUUAUCUCUGCUUCAGUUUGGGAUGAGAAUCUGGGGAGAGAGAUUUUCCUCACCAACUCCUUGUUCUUCUGAGAUGCAUUUCAAACAGGAAACACAGGGAACAGACUCGGUUCCUCCCUGUAUUUUCUAGUGUUGGGAAUGUGGCAUGGUUCUCUGGCAUCCUCUCAAGAUAUGUAAACUGCCAUUUCUGCAAGACUUCCUGCUCUUCUCAGUGAGAGAUGAUCUUGGAGGACCACAGUCUGGGGGUCAGGGAUACUGUGAGAUGCCAAGGACAACGGAGCUGGCCCCAUUUGCAUUCCUGCCCUCAGCGCCUGAAAAUGCCUGAUGUCCUACACCCUCCCCGGAAGAGCAGGCUGUGAAACUCCUAGAUGUUUGCCAAUAUGACAGACUCCAACUCCCAGGGCUGACAGCAACUUCAGGCUCAUCAAGGCUGAGUUCCAUGGCUCCCCGACACUCUUCUCGCAGCUGAGUAGCCAUCUGAGCUCCCCGGCUCGCAGGGCUGGUCUUGCUACGUGAGUACGACGAAGUCUAGGGCCUCUUGGACUCACAGCCCUUCUCAAAUUCUUUUCUGCUCUCUACAUUUUAUCUUCUCCCCUCAAAAAAAUUUUUCCUUUACCCCUUUCUUCAAUGAAAUGGCCUCUCACAUGGAAGCUCACUCGGAAGCUUCUGCCCCUUCUACUUCUAGGAAGCCUCCGUCCUUUGUGACCCAAGGCCAAGGUCACAUUCCUUGAUUACAUCACAAUUAAGAAUUUCCAUUUUUGUGAUGAAAUCAUGAACUCGUAAUUAAAAGGCAAAUAACCGCUUAAAAAUAUAUCUAAAAAGUCAAAACCUGAUGUAGUUAAAAUAUUUAAAUGAUACAAGGAACUUUUGCAAAUUAAUUUUUAAAAGCAACACCAGAACCCCAAUAGAUAAAUGGGCAAAGACUCUGAAUAGUUCAUGAGAUGAGAAACUCAAAAUAAUAAACAAAGGAAGAAAGGCUCAGACUCAUUUAAUUGGAGAUAUAAAAUAAGAACUAUGAUGAAUUAUGGGAUAGUUUAGAUCUCAAACCUCCCAAUCACCCAUAUGUUAGAGGCUUGAUCCCCAGCCUGUGACACUACCAGGAGGUGGUGGGAUCUUCAGGAAGAAGGGUCUCAUCGAAGGAAGUGAGGUCAUUGAAGACAUGCCCUUGAACGGGGCUGUGGUCCCUUCCUCUCUCCCCUUUGCUUCUUGGUUUCCCUGGGGCAAGCAGUCAUCCUCUACCACGUGCUCCUGCCGUGGUGUACUGUGCCACCACAGGCCCAAAGCAAUGGAACCAAGUGACCAGAAUGAAUCUUGGAAACCACAAACCAAAAUAAACCUUUCCUCUUUUUAAGCUUAUUAUUUCAGGUAUUUUGUCACAGCAGUGGAAAGCUAACUAACACAAAUGGUGAGUUACUACCUGUUGUGGUUUAGCUAUUAGUGUCCCCACAAAGCUCAUGUGUGAGACAAAGCAAGAAACUUUAGAGGAGAAAUGAUUGAGUUAAGACAGCCUUAACCCAAUCCAUGAAUUAAUCCCCUGAUGGGAUUAACUGAGUGGUAAAUGAAGGUGGGUAGGGUGUGGCUGGAGGAGGUGGGUCAUUGGGGGUGUGGCUUUUGGGUAUAUAUUUGGUAUCUGGUAAGUGGAGUCUCUUUCUGCUUUCUGAUCAUCAGGUGAACUGCUUUCCUCCACCACACUCUUCUGCCAUGAUGUUCAUCCUCACCUUGAGCCCCAAGGAAUGGAACUACAGACUGAGACCUCUGU
Molecule: long non-coding RNA, 1916 nt
Organism: Marmota monax (woodchuck)
Lineage: Eukaryota; Metazoa; Chordata; Mammalia; Rodentia; Sciuridae
Exons: 4
Source: RefSeq, a predicted model, not a curated record